Molecule: transfer RNA, 72 nt
Filed under: Haemonchus contortus (barber pole worm)
Lineage: Eukaryota; Metazoa; Nematoda; Chromadorea; Rhabditida; Trichostrongylidae
Description: tRNA, Pseudo
Source: RNAcentral
UUCCCAACCCAGGGAUCGAACCCACGUCUCCUGCAUUGGCAGGCAGAUUCUUUACCACUGAGCCACCUGGGA